Molecule: non-coding RNA, 77 nt
Organism: Myotis davidii
Lineage: Eukaryota; Metazoa; Chordata; Mammalia; Chiroptera; Vespertilionidae
Source: Rfam
GCCCAUGUGGUUCAGUGGUAGAGAGAGCAUCAGUCUGCACUCUGAAGGGUCGUGGGUUCAAUUCCUUGUCAAGGGCA